UCCCUGGUGGCUCAGAGGGUAAAGCAUCUGCCUGCAAUGCGGGAGACUCUGGGUUCAAUUCCUGGGUUGGGAA
This 73-nucleotide transfer RNA is filed under the name Bos taurus (domestic cattle). It matches the Rfam family "tRNA". Rfam says of the family: Transfer RNA (tRNA) molecules are approximately 80 nucleotides in length. The record is from Rfam by way of RNAcentral. RNAcentral also lists the same sequence under 5 other names. Lineage: Eukaryota; Metazoa; Chordata; Mammalia; Artiodactyla; Bovidae.